RNAcentral lists this long non-coding RNA (803 nucleotides) under Ananas comosus (pineapple). RNAcentral's name for it is "long non-coding RNA (ACOM_LNC041446)". Lineage: Eukaryota; Viridiplantae; Streptophyta; Magnoliopsida; Poales; Bromeliaceae. The record is from RNAcentral.
UUUCACCUUAGAGCACAUUUGUUUCGUGUUAUAUAACAUUACAUGUUAGGAUUAGAAUAAAUAUAUAGAAUUAUUAUGUUUGGCUCAUAUUAUAAAAUUCAGUAAUUGUGACAAUAAAACGUAAUCUAUUUCAAAAUUGCUCUUAGUUAUAUUUGGUAAAUUUUUUUAAUAUUUACAAAUAAUAUUUUUUAAUUAAAUUUUAUUUUAAAAUAAUUUAAAAUUUGAAUUCAAAUUUAAAAUCUAAAAUUUUUAAAAUUUAAAAUCUAAGCAAAAGUAUAAAACUUAAUAUUCUAAUUUAAAAUAUAAAUUAGAAAAAUUUUAAAUCUAAAUAUCAAAAUUUAGAAUUUAAAAUAUAGGUUUGAAAUUUAAAUNAUUUGAAAUUUAAAAUCUAAAAUUUAAAUUUAGAAUUUAAAAUAUAGAUUUGAAAUUUGAAAUUUCAAAAUUUUAAAUUUUAAAUUUAAAUUUUAAAUUUUAAAUUUAAAAAUUUUAAAUUUUAAAUUUUAUAUUCAAAAAUUUAAAUUAAUGUAUUAGAAGGAUUUGGGACAGUUGGAGGGAUAAACUUGUAAUUUUAUAAAACUUGCAUGAUAAUCCGUUUCGGUAAUACGGGAGGAUGCCCCGCCUUUCGCUCGAUAAUAUUUUCGGUGUAAUUCUAUACCAUUUGUAAUGCUAUACUACUGACAAGAAUAUAGACUGGAUGAAUUAUAUAAAUAUAGUAAUACCGAUAAAAUUACUUGUAAUUCUGACAGGAUAAUCCGAACCCAACACACCUUUAGAAGGUUCCGAAGACAUACACCUAAAAUAUG